Molecule: ribosomal RNA, 135 nt
Filed under: uncultured eukaryote
Lineage: Eukaryota
Description: partial 18S ribosomal RNA
Rfam family: Eukaryotic small subunit ribosomal RNA
Source: RNAcentral
UGGUGGAGUGAUUUGUCUGGUUAAUUCCGAUAACGAACGAGACUCUAGCCUACUAAAUAGUAUGGAGGUCUUGACGUCUCCACUACUUCUUAGAGGGACUGACGGCGUUUAGCCGUACGAAAUUGAGCAAUAACA